This is a long non-coding RNA of Esox lucius (northern pike), 510 nucleotides long. RefSeq lists it as uncharacterized. The record is from RefSeq and is a predicted model, not a curated record. The transcript has 3 exons. Lineage: Eukaryota; Metazoa; Chordata; Actinopteri; Esociformes; Esocidae.
ACAAGGGCAUUUCAAGCACAUAGCAGGGAAAGGGUUUGGAGAGAGAAGUAAAGGAAGAGUGAGAGAGAGAUGAGAGAGAGAGAGGGCAGGAGAUUGUGGGCGAUAGGCUACAUCCACAACAGAAGAUGGAGAGGGAAAAGGUCAAACAUGGUUGGAGGACUGUAGCGGAUCUUGGUCGUAUUUCAGAGUCAUGGGGGGUGACAGAUUGACCAUAACCCUGGAAGAUGAUGUCCUUGGAGCUCUCCAUUACCAGAUGCAUCAUGCUGUUCUGUUGGGCCAAACAACCAGUGCUGGGCAUAAAACCAUGGUCAUGGCCAGUAGAUGAAAACACAGGGCAGAGGACGGUAUGGGGAAAUCUUUCUGACUCACAAAAAAGCAAAGAAUACGCAAAUCAGACAAAGAAAGGAAUCAUAUGCUGGUCUUUCUUACUCCUGCUGCCAUUUUUCUCUCCCUCUGUUCAGUCAAGGAAGUGGAUAUGAAUGAGACACUAUAUGUCUUUGCCCCCCACCC